This is a long non-coding RNA of Corapipo altera (White-ruffed manakin), 884 nucleotides long. RefSeq lists it as uncharacterized. The record is from RefSeq and is a predicted model, not a curated record. NCBI's taxonomy places the organism in Eukaryota, Metazoa, Chordata, Aves, Passeriformes, Pipridae. The transcript is spliced from 4 exons.
UUCCUUAUUAUUCUGGCAGAUACUGACUGAUUGCACAUACUCCAAGUCCUAUUAGCCUGGUGCCAAUGCACCAUCAAACUUGAAUUCUUUACUCCAAACCCCUUUUGUGGUUUCCUUUCUUCAGCAGCUGUUCAUCUAACAUGAAGUGUUUAUGGGUAUCACUGAUGAAUUUGCCUCUUUGGGGCAGGAAAAGGAAAAUAUUUGGCUGCAGCCUACAUCCAAUUAGGGAUCUGAAAGAGGGGAGCAGGGAGGAGGGGCUUCAGAUGGUUCCUAAACUGCCUUUGUUUCUACCUCGUUCCAUCAGUGGGAGCAGAACCAGGAGCACCCACUUGUUUCCAGUGCAGCAGAUAAUUCAGUUGUGCCACUGGUGAAUGAUGAUGAAGAGGAACCAAGAGAUAAUGAUGGGCCCACUGCUACCCUUACAAAUGUGCUGUACCAGGAUUGCUUCCUAGGGCAGUGGGAGCAGAACCAGCAGCACCCAGCUGGAAACCCACUUGUUUCCAGUGCAGCAGAUAAUUCAGUUGUGCUACUGACAAGUGAUGAUGAAGAGGAACCAAGACAGAAUGAUGGCACAUGGCCAGCAGUUACUGUAAGCUCUCCAAUUUGGAUAGACGACAACUCACAGGUAAGGAUGCACAUGUUGUCAUCCUUUCAGCUUUAUGGGAGGGCAAAGAGGACAGAGGGGGAUCUGCACAGCUCAGCUGGCUGAUGUGGGGUGCUACGGGCAGCUGGCUUGAGCACAGACCUUGCUUUGGAGCUCCACCUAGCACGUCCCUCCAAGUCACUUCUCACUGGUGUACACACAGGGAGGAACCCUUGCCAAGAUGGCACUGGAAGAUUUGUGGGUUCCUUAUUAUUCUGGCAGAUACUGACUGAUUGCACAU